CACAGCCCCGCAAGGGGUGGGUGGCGAGUGGCGGACGGGUGAGGAAUACAUCGGAAUCUGCCCUGUUGUGGGGGAUAACCCAUCGAAAGGUGGGCUAAUACCGCAUGAGACGGUGACGUGAAAGCGGGGGACCAGUAAUGGCCUCGCGCGACGGGAUGAGCCGAUGUCGGAUUAGCUAGUUGGUAGGGUAAAGGCCUACCAAGGCGACGAUCCGUAGCUGGUCUGAGAGGAUGAUCAGCCACACUGGGACUGAGACACGGCCCAGACUCCUACGGGAGGCAGCAGUGGGGAAUAUUGGACAAUGGGCGCAAGCCUGAUCCAGCAAUGCCGCGUGUGUGAAGAAGGCCUUCGGG
RNAcentral lists this ribosomal RNA (353 nucleotides) under uncultured bacterium. RNAcentral describes it as "bacterial SSU rRNA". It matches the Rfam family "Bacterial small subunit ribosomal RNA", at positions 70 to 422 of the family's 1533-position model. The record is from RNAcentral.